Long non-coding RNA from Papaver somniferum (opium poppy), 1487 nucleotides. RefSeq lists it as uncharacterized. The transcript has 6 exons. Lineage: Eukaryota; Viridiplantae; Streptophyta; Magnoliopsida; Ranunculales; Papaveraceae. The record is from RefSeq and is a predicted model, not a curated record.
CUCUAUAUCUUCUUUUCUUCAUUAUUCGUAUAUUUUGUUUCAAUUAUUAGUUUUGUUCUAAUUACAGUAUUUUGCAGGUGCGAUUUUUACUCAAAAGAAUAAACAAGAAAAGUCUCUAUUCUUGGAGACUAAUUGAUUAAUGGGUAGUCUUCAUCCUAGCGGAAGCACAAUUAUUCCUUGAUUUAUGAGAAGAGCGAUAUAUACAGUUAUGGAGUAGUACUAAUGGAGACGCAAUUGGUAAAAAAAAUCAGUAGUGCCGGAAUUUGGAGAAGGAAAAAGUAUUGUAGAUUGGGUUAGAUCUAAAGUCAAGACUGAAGAAGGUGUCGCUCAAAUCCUCGGUUUAUUAUAUCAAUCAGUCCGGAAAGAAGUGGCGAUAGUUCUUAGAGUGGCAUUUCCUGCUGAGCGACCUUCCAUGAUGGUGGUGUUACCUUGAGUCAGAAAUUAGGAAUAUAAAUCGGGGGGAUUGACAUUGGGGAUGCCUAAACCAUCUUUGCAAUUCAUGUGGACUACAGGUGCACUAUAGCAUUGGGUCUGUUGUUAGAUAAGCCCUAACGACAAUAUGUGUGUUUGAAAUAAAAAAUGGAGAACAAGAUAAAAUCUCUGUGGAAACAUCAUAUGAUCGGUGAUAAUGUACUAGCUGUUUAGUGCAUUUUUCGGCAAGGGGUUAGGGUUAGGGCUUUACUCGUAAUCAACUAACCAAGUUUUAUCUUUAGGGGUUAGGGCUUUCUUUAGACUACCGUUGAAGAAGAAUAGGAAAAAUUGGCCGAUGAUUUUACUUCUACUUUCCUAAUCUAGCUUCCCAAAAUGUCAGUUGAAGAAGACCAUGACGAUGUCAUGAGUGAAGAGGAUAUCACAGUAGUAGAGUCGAUGACAAUUCAAGAGAAUGCUUCAAAGAAAAGGAAAUUUACAUCAAAAGUAUGGAAUGAUUUUGAUUAGUCACGAGACAAAGAUGGUAAAAAAAAGGCUACGUGCAAGCAUUGUGGGAAGGAAUAUGCUUAUGACAGUCAGAAAGGAGGAACAUCAACUAUGUCAAGGCAUUUAAAGAAGUGCCCUAGACUGAAGAUGCAAGAUGUGGGGCAACUUUUGUUAUCUACAAAUAAUGGAGAACUGGCUACUCGUGCACGCAAAAUAGAUCAAUCAAAAGUUCGGGAUUUAGUUACAAGACUAAUUAUUGGUAAAAAUCUCUCCUUUAAUUGUGUAUAAUGGACUGAAUUUAGGGAGUUAUGUAGUUAUCUGAAUGUCGAUGUUGAAACCAUAUCAAGGAAUACUACAAGGUCUGAUAUUCUUAAAAUGCAUAAGUUCCAAAAAGAAGUUAUUCGCAAGAAAUUACAAUGUGCUCCAGGUAAAAUAUGUCUAACAUCAGACAUGUGGACCUCCGUCAACACCACUGGAUACAUAAGUUUAACAGUACACUUUGUUGAUCAAGAUUGGGUAUUGCAGAAGUUUCUUUUAAAUUUUCUCCACUGCCACCACCCCAUACUGGUCAA